UACGUAGGGGGCUAGCGUUGUCCGGAUUUAUUGGGCGUAAAGAGCUCGUAGGCGGCUUGUCGCGUCGAAUGUGAAAUCUCGGGGCUCAACUCCGAGCUUGCAUUCGAUACGGGCAGGCUAGAGUUCGGUAGGGGGAGACUGGAAUUCCUGGUGUAGCGGUGAAAUGCGCAGAUAUCAGGAGGAACACCGAUGGCGAAGGCAGGUCACUGGGCCGCAACUGACGCUGAGGAGCGAAAGCAUGGGGAGCGAACAGG
This 254-nucleotide ribosomal RNA is filed under the name uncultured bacterium. RNAcentral's name for it is "partial 16S ribosomal RNA". It matches the Rfam family "Bacterial small subunit ribosomal RNA", at positions 524 to 776 of the family's 1533-position model. The record is from RNAcentral.